UCUUGUGCUCUGAUGCUCGACUCCAGAAUUCGUGGAAGAGCUGCUGUCGACAGUGGUCCGAGCCUGGACCCUAUUUUUCUUCUUUCUGUUUUUUCCUCCUUCCUAGCUGUUUUGUGGAGCUUAGCAAUUUUUGAAAGUUGCGGUUGGAGGUUCUCUUCUGUUUUUUGUUUCCCUCCUUCCAUGUGUGGUCUGUGGCGACUUGGUGAGCUGAUUCACGAACACCUUUCCCUCUGUUUCCGUUGUUGUUAUUGUGUGUGUUGCGGUCCCCAUCAGCAAUGGAGAGCUUGAGCGAUCGGCGGACUGUGUAUUGGUGCUCUGUGCUCUGUUCCAUUCUUGGGAGCUAUGUGUCGAGCUCGUCGCUGGAGCUCCGAUAGUCACAGUCUGUAGCCGUUGGAUUUUGUUCUUUUUAUCUUGUUGGAUUGCUUCCGCGGCAGCUGCUAGUAGGUGUGCAUUGCAGUGCAGUGUACUGCAUCGUAACAAGGAAGAAACCAACUUUUUUGUGGUGACUGGAGCCGCGAAAGUUUUCCUUCUUCCGUAUUGGAGCUUGCGGUGCAGGUUGCAGAUCUAGUUUUUUGUCAGUCAAGUUGGUGUAUUGCGGCGGCUGUGGAACAGUGUUUUUGUUUUUCAUUUUUUUCCUUCUCUAGAUCUAUGGCGCAAGCUGUGCAGUUCUCUUUUCUUCGUCGUCAUGGUGUGGUUGCGGUUGGCUGCACUUAGUUUCGAUUCCUCUUCUAAUUUCCGUUCAGCGAUUGCUGUGGCGGUUUCUUUUUCUGAUAUAAGUUGCCCUUGCAUCAAGAGAAGUUGGAACUAGGCGUGUGAGCAGCGACUAGUUGGGAAGUGAUGAGCUACUGCAUGGUCCAGCUCGUGGGGGUACUGCGGAACUUGGAUCAUGGUCUGACAUUUGGCAGUUCGAGGGUGUUCCUCUUCUAUGCUUGCGGUCUCAAUGGCGGUGGUGGGUGAUUCCACGUUGUGGAGCUAGGAGGUGAAGGCUCUUGUGCUACUCCCUCAAGCGAUUCCAAGUGGAGUGUUGCUGGUGUUGGCAUGGGGUUUCAGUCGAGAUUCAGUGUGUUUCCACACACCCAUACUUCAAGCUCAAGGGUGUAUUCACAAGCGGCGAUUAGCUGGUUGUAACAUCCUCUGUUUUUGCAAAGGUACAGACUUGCAAGGCAAAAAAAUUUGAAGCAUCUUUUAAAAGAUCUCCCAUCACCGGAGCUCAGGGCGAUUGAAGCUGUAGUUGUCGUGAUAAUUUAGGAGCGAUUGAUUGUAGUUUGAACUUGGCAUUCCGGCCAAAGUUUGGGGCUUGUUACUUAGAAGUUAGAAGACAGGAGGAGAAUUAGAAUUAAGAGGGCAGAUUUAUACUAUCGGAUCCAUCGAAAUCAACCACCGUCUGCUUCUGCCUAAUAGCAGACGUUCAAAGGUGAGAGCCCUGGAGUUUAUUUAGAAGGCUAUCAUCACCUUGGAUUUACACCAAGUGGAAGUUCAGCCAAGGAUCAUCAAGAAGAAUCCAAAUUAAUCAAUGAGAGAAUGGCAAUUCACAAGUGGUGAAUUGCACAUCUCAAUUGAGUUAGUUCCUUUUAAUAAAAUCUGACUUGUAUUUGGACUCUA
Long non-coding RNA from Physcomitrium patens, 1602 nucleotides. RefSeq lists it as uncharacterized. The record is from RefSeq and is a predicted model, not a curated record. NCBI's taxonomy places the organism in Eukaryota, Viridiplantae, Streptophyta, Bryopsida, Funariales, Funariaceae.